CCCUUAGAUGUUCUGGGCCGCACGCGCGCUACACUGACGAAUGCAACGAGCUUAUAACCUUGGCCGAAAGGUCUGGGUAAUCUCCAAAUUUCGUCGUGAUGGGGAUAGAUUAUUGCAAUUAUUAAUCUUCAACGAGGAAUGCCUAGUAAGCGCAAGUCAUCAGCUUGCGUUGAUUACGUCCCUGCCCUUUGUACACACCGCCUGUCGCUCCUACCGAUUGAAUGGUCCGGUGAAGCGCUCGGACCGCGGCCUCUUGACGGUUCGCUGUCGAUUGGCUGUGGGAAGUUCGUUAAACCUUAUCAUUUAGAGGAAGGAGAANUCGUAACA
This 327-nucleotide ribosomal RNA is filed under the name uncultured eukaryote. Its description in RNAcentral is "partial 18S ribosomal RNA". It matches the Rfam family "Eukaryotic small subunit ribosomal RNA", at positions 1470 to 1796 of the family's 1831-position model. The record is from RNAcentral.